UGGUUUCGCUUCAGAUUGUAUAAAUCUUUUGCCUUUUGCUAAAGAUUUCCAUAGAGAGGAACAUUUAA
Small nuclear RNA from Gorilla gorilla gorilla (western lowland gorilla), 68 nucleotides. Its record names the gene U5. It matches the Rfam family "U5 spliceosomal RNA". Rfam says of the family: U5 RNA is a component of both types of known spliceosome. The precise function of this molecule is unknown, though it is known that the 5' loop is required for splice site selection and p220 binding, and that both the 3' stem-loop and the Sm site are important for Sm protein binding and cap methylation. NCBI's taxonomy places the organism in Eukaryota, Metazoa, Chordata, Mammalia, Primates, Hominidae. The record is from Ensembl.